This 1093-nucleotide long non-coding RNA is filed under the name Homo sapiens (human). Its description in RNAcentral is "non-protein coding lnc-PRR5-4:2". Lineage: Eukaryota; Metazoa; Chordata; Mammalia; Primates; Hominidae. The record is from RNAcentral.
UGCAGUGAGCCAAGAUUAUGCUACUGCAAGAAUCUUCCUCUAUGUGGUCUGGUGACUGUCGCAAUGCUAUUUUGUCCUACGUGCUUUGUUUGUUUCUGCAGCUGUCUCCUGCAGGGCAUCUCUCCUUCCUGGACUGGGGUCUGUGUGUCUAUGUGUUGUGGUUCCCUGGUUGUAUCCACCCUGGUCCUCCAGGGCACACAGGGUGAAGAAGCUCUGUCUUCAGAGCACUGUGCACACCACUCGUGCCAUGCAGGAUGCACCCUGGACUCAUGUCAAUGACUAGCUUCUGUCCCUGGCCAUGGGGGACCAUUUUCUGGCCACAAAUCCUGGCAAGAUUUCCAGCCCCCACCCAUGGGCAGACGGCACGUGGUUCCCAGUUAUCGCUUGCAUUUUAGUUUCGGGGAGAUGUUUUCACUUCUGGUCCAUAGAAAUGUCCUUUCAUUAUUUUCAAAUGCUCCAUUCAUACAGCUCUUGUGUGUGUCUGUGUGUGUGGUGUUAUUGAUGUUUUCACUUCGAGUGCAUGGACUUGAAGAGGGAGGUUUCUGUAUAAACUCAAUCUUGACCUAGAAAAUUGUCUUCAGCACUCCAAGCCGAUUUUCUCAUCUGUCAAGUGGGGCUGUUAUGAGGAUGAACUGAGAUAGACUCAUCAGCAAGUAGCACAGUCGACCACAGAGGGAACACCCAUGGAGCCCAUCGAGUCUGCUUUCUGUUAGUGCUGGGAGCAGGACGAGGGUGUCACCCAUCAGUCCCGGCAACAGCAGUGCUGGGGAAGUUCCACAAGUGACCUAAGAAAAAAAAAAAAAAAAAAAAAUUAUAAAACCCAAGUCAGCUAAAAUAGGGAAGUACUGGGCAAGACAAAUGGAUCAACUGAAUAAACAGUGGGAAAGUUGGUCCUACGGUAGAUAAGAUUUCCCUGCGUGUGAAGGAAAGAACACACGUGACCAAGGGAGAGAAAUACUUAUUAAUAACUGGACUCAGGGUAUUUAAAUCUUUGAAAGACAGUCUAUUUAGAGCCUCCUCUCACAUUACAUGCCAAAUUAAUCCCAGAAAUAACUGUGUAUUAAUCUAGAGGGGGAAGAAAGACCUGAAGUUU